UAGAGUUUGAUCAUGGCUCAGGAUGAACGCUGGCGGCGUGCCUAACACAUGCAAGUCGAACGGAGAUUUGACGCUGAUGAAGCUUCGGCAGAAUCUUGUUAAAUCUUAGUGGCGGACGGGUGAGUAACGCGUGGGCAACCUGCCUCAUACUGGGGGAUAACAGCUGGAAACGACUGUUAAUACCGCAUAAGCGCACGGUGUCGCAUGACACAGUGUGAAAAACUCCGGUGGUAUGAGAUGGGCCCGCGUCAGAUUAGCCAGUUGGCGGGGCAACGGCCCACCAAGUCUGCGAUCAGUAGGGGUUCUGAGAGGAAGGUCCCCCACAUUGGAACUGAGACACGGUCCAAACUCCUACGGGAGGCAGCAGUGAGGAAUAUUGGUCAAUGGGCGGGAGCCUGAACCAGCCAAGUAGCGUGCAGGAUGACGGCCCUAUGGGUUGUAAACUGCUUUUGUAUGGGGAUAAAUUGCUCCACGAGUGGAGUAUUGCAGGUACCAUACGAAUAAGGACCGGCUAAUUCCGUGCCAGCAGCCGCGGUAAUACGGAAGGUCCGGGCGUUAUCCGGAUUUAUUGGGUUUAAAGGGAGCGUAGGCGGCUUAUCAAGCGUGCUGUGAAAUGCGGUGGCUCAACCACUGGAGUGCAGCGCGAACUGGUUUGCUUGAGUGCGCGGGACGAGGGCGGAAUUCGCGGUGUAGCGGUGAAAUGCUUAGAUAUCGCGAAGAACUCCGAUUGCGAAGGCAGCUCUCGGCAGCGCUACUGACGCUGAUGCUCGAAGGUGCGGGUAUCGAACAGGAUUAGAUACCCUGGUAGUCCGCACGGUAAACGAUGGGUGCCCGCUGUCCGGCCUUUUUGUCGGGUGGCCAAGAGAAAUCAUUAAGCAUCCCACCUGGGGAGUACGCCGGCAACGGUGAAACUCAAAGGAAUUGACGGGGGCCCGCACAAGCGGAGGAACAUGUGGUUUAAUUCGAUGAUACGCGAGGAACCUUACCCGGGCUUGAACUGCAGGUGAACGAUACAGAGAUGUUGAGGUCCUUCGGGACGCCUGUGGAGGUGCUGCAUGGUUGUCGUCAGCUCGUGCCGUGAGGUGUCGGCUUAAGUGCCAUAACGAGCGCAACCCCUGUUGCCAGUUGCCAUCAGGCAGUGCUGGGCACUCUGGUGAUACUGCCGCCGCAAGGUGGAGGAAGGUGGGGAUGACGUCAAAUCAGCACGGCCCUUACGUCCGGGGCUACACACGUGUUACAAUGGCGCGUACAGAGUGUUGGUUCACGGCGACGUGUGCCGGAUCUUGAAAACGCGUCUCAGUUCGGACCGGGGUCUGCAACCCGACCCCGCGAAGCUGGAUUCGCUAGUAAUCGCGCAUCAGCCAUGGCGCGGUGAAUACGUUCCCGGGCCUUGUACACACCGCCCGUCAAGCCAUGAAAGCCUGGGGCGCCUGAAGUCCGUGACCGCGAGGGUCGGCCUAGGGUGAGACAGGUGAUUGGGGCUAAGUCGUAACAAGGUAACCGUA
This 1505-nucleotide ribosomal RNA is filed under the name uncultured bacterium. RNAcentral describes it as "bacterial SSU rRNA". It matches the Rfam family "Bacterial small subunit ribosomal RNA". The record is from RNAcentral.